Molecule: ribosomal RNA, 301 nt
Filed under: uncultured bacterium
Lineage: Bacteria
Description: partial 16S ribosomal RNA
Rfam family: Bacterial small subunit ribosomal RNA
Source: RNAcentral
CAGUCGCCGCGGUAAUACGGAGGAUCCAAGCGUUAUCCGGAAUCAUUGGGUUUAAAGGGUCCGUAGGCGGUCUUGUAAGUCAGUGGUGAAAGCCCAUCGCUCAACGGUGGAACGGCCAUUGAUACUGCAGGACUUGAAUUAUUGGGAAGUAACUAGAAUAUGUAGUGUAGCGGUGAAAUGCUUAGAGAUUACAUGGAAUACCAAUUGCGAAGGCAGGUUACUACCAAUUGAUUGACGCUGAUGGACGAAAGCGUGGGUAGCGAACAGGAUUAGAUACCGCGUAGUCCCUGUCUCUUAUACA